Molecule: ribosomal RNA, 464 nt
Filed under: Antipathes griggi
Lineage: Eukaryota; Metazoa; Cnidaria; Anthozoa; Antipatharia; Antipathidae
Description: partial 16S ribosomal RNA
Rfam family: Bacterial large subunit ribosomal RNA
Source: RNAcentral
UUAUUUUAAUAUAAAAAAGGGACGAAUGGAUAACUAGGAUGGACUAAAAUAGGACGGAAAAUCCGAAAAGACGAAGAAGAGACUUAGAAAUCGUUUAUCCUAGCGGAAAUGCAGUAAAAAGAACUGGGAAGUGAAACAUCUUAGUACCAGAGCCGGCGCAUAAGAAAUUUCUUAAGGGUCUGUGGCACAGAGAAAUCAAACGAGAUUCCGUAAGUAGCGGCGAGCGAAAGUGGAUUAGUCCAAUGACUUAUUUUGAAGCGAGUAAAUAGUGGAAAAUAGGUGCUCACACAUCUAAGACUAAAUGUUAGUUUCCAUACCGAAAGAGAGAGUACUGUAAAGGAAAGUUGAAAGAGAUUUUAAAAGAUCUUGAAAUGAGUCCCUUAGAGCAGUUGUGAUACAACGUACCUUUUGUAUAAUGGGUUCACAAGAUAAAAUUUGGCAAACUUAAGUUUAGAUCAUGAUCA